GGUCGCGUGGGUGAGUGGUUUAUACCGCCUCAUUGCUAAUGAGGAGACCAGAUCAAUAAUACUCUGGUUCGCAGGUCCGAAUCCUGCCGCGACCG
RNAcentral lists this transfer RNA (95 nucleotides) under Clostridium sp. AF50-3. RNAcentral's name for it is "tRNA-Ser". It matches the Rfam family "tRNA". Rfam says of the family: Transfer RNA (tRNA) molecules are approximately 80 nucleotides in length. The record is from RNAcentral. Lineage: Bacteria; Bacillati; Bacillota; Clostridia; Eubacteriales; Clostridiaceae.